Canis lupus familiaris (dog) is the source of this 2413-nucleotide long non-coding RNA. RefSeq lists it as uncharacterized. The transcript has 5 exons. NCBI's taxonomy places the organism in Eukaryota, Metazoa, Chordata, Mammalia, Carnivora, Canidae. The record is from RefSeq and is a predicted model, not a curated record.
CAACAACCUAAACCCUAAUCCCAAUCCUAAACUGAGUAUUAAAACUCAGUGGUGAACCAAAUAUCCUGCCAAUCCUGUCUAUGGACCGGGCCCCCUAUUCUGGCCAUAGAUGGCCACUCUCUCAACCUUAGCCUCACACAGAACCCUAAGUCAGAUGACAGUCAGCCCUUUGUGUGGCCAGGGAGUGACCACUAUGAUGGAGAACCAGUCAUCUCACAAUGACCCCACAAGGGCACAGAGGAGAGGACAGGUGGGAGGUCAGUGCAGGUCUGUUCCACAAGGUGCCUCAACUCAUUGUACACGUCUUUCCAAGGAUAGAUGCAUCAAGUGAGAUCCAGAGAUGCGGAGUGAAUGUGAGCUUCACACUAGCAGAGGCAGGCCUAGAACUCAAGACUCCUGAUUCCCAGUUCAGCGUUCCCUCCACUGAAUGCAAAAUGAUGUGUUCUUUCUAAGAACACACGUCCUAGAGGCCUCACUAACUGAAGAGAGCUUUAGAGGAACAUCCCAAGAAGCCGCUGUUGAAUUAUCAUCCCCAAGUGUGGCCAAAUUAUACAGUAUGAGAAAGUCAAAACUUUCAAAGAGCUGACAUAGGACACAGAGCAAGAAGGCUGUGGGGCAGAAAGAACAUGGAAUUUCCUUAGGACACCAAAAAAUGGCAUGCAGCAUCUUUGGGUCAGGAGUUCAGGUGUGGUUUAGCCAAAUCUUCCAACUCACAACUCUGCGAUCAAUCAAGGUCAACAGACAGUGACUGCAGUUAUCCAAAGGUUCAACCAAGACAGGAUCAGCUCCCAAACUCAUUCACGUGUACAUGUAUAAAUCACUCCAUUGGAUUCUACUGUCUUGUAAAAAUAAAAACGAUCCCCAAAUGUUCAAGAAUUACUCAGGGACUAUUCAGUGUUCAAUAUGUCAAAGCAGCCAAGACAGACAGUCAGGAAGAAGAUUAGAAUCAAUGAAGAAAAAUCCAUCCCGGGCACAAGUUGUCCUGCUGCCAGCACUGUCGGGGAAAGGCCUGCUCGCUCGGCACUCUCAUUACUGGGAGAAAAAGUCUUCAAGCAUGAGACCAAGGAGGAGGCCACAAUCCCUGCUGCCUGAGUUCUUCGGACAAAUCCACAGUCUAUUUUGUCAAAAUGGAUACUCCCAUGGAGUGGCCGUCUGCUGCGUGGUUUUAAAGAGCUCCUCUACGUCUCUGCUGCCUCCAGAGAGGGAUCAGUCACCUGGGCCCCAACAGGAGCUCAGCCAUUACUCAAAAAACUGGAAUGCUAAGAUUUCCACUUAUUCCCUGCUGACUACCAGCAUCAGAGGCUCUCUGCCUGGGGCAGGCUUUCUGCUCACUUCUGCUCCCCUUCCCCUCCUUCCAUCCAGGGUUGGAUAUCAUCCAGUCCCCUCCUAUCCCAUUCAAGCUCCUUCCACAACAAGAGGAACAUUAGAAGGUUAACAUCUGCCUGGAUUUUAAGGAAGAAAACUUGCCCAGGUGUUGAUAGAGUUGAUAAUAAUAGAUUAAAGUUGUAAAAAUGGGAUAGAUGAGCACACUGCAAGCUGAUAUUGCAUGAGCACCUUCUGUGGGCAUGGCCCUGUGCCAGGCUGCACAUGUGCAAAAGCAGCCUCUGGAAGCUAUAUGGUGGCUACAAAGGGUGAAGGCAGGAAAGAAGAGAGCUAAAGCAAUUGGGGCAGAAAUUGGAGAAAGCUAGGGAUAGACUGUUCCUAAUGCAUGCUAGGCACACAACGGCAAAAGGAAUCUCAGCCUUAGCAUCUGCCUGAUGCUGAGAUUUUCUGGAAGGGAAGUAAACUUAUUUCUUCUGGAUGGAUGACAGGGACUGCCUGACCCUCCACCCCCAAUCAAAGACUCCCCAAACUCCUUAGAGAUGAGUGACAAGGGACAUGUAUCAAGUCAGCUUCCUCAUUAGCAGAUCAGAAAUGUAAGUCCCAGAGAAGAUAAUAAACUAGCCUAAAAUCAUGCAUUCAGGUGGCCACCGGCUAAAAGUGACUUCCACGACUGGGAGCCAUGUCUAUGGGUUUCCAUUCCUAGGCUCUUUCCCCACACAACUUACCUUAAGUGGGGAUGAUACAGGCAAUGGGUUGAUCCUUCCUACUGAAAGCUACAUGUCGAAUACAGUUUCCAUCAGCCUGAAAAAUAGAACCAGGGUGGCUGCAAGACUUAGCCAAGAGACCCCAUGGCAUGUUAUUGAAAUACAAGGUUUUUAACAGAGACCUCCACAAUUAUGUCUCAGGAAGUCACACCAAUACCUAUUAUGGUUUUGAGAAUGUGACUUGCAGCUUUGCCCCGGUUUCCACAUUUUAAAAUAAGACAAACUACUGCUCUUACAAAGAUGUUCAGUGACCAAAUUAAUGAUUAAUUAUGAGUACACAGAAUUUCAUGGAGAUUACUCUUCAGUUUGACAUUAUUACUUUCAAU